RNAcentral lists this ribosomal RNA (784 nucleotides) under uncultured bacterium. Its description in RNAcentral is "bacterial SSU rRNA". It matches the Rfam family "Bacterial small subunit ribosomal RNA", at positions 97 to 893 of the family's 1533-position model. The record is from RNAcentral.
GGCGAACGGGUGAGUAACAGCGUUGGUGACCUGCCCCAAAGUGAGGGAUACCAGUUCGAAAGGACUGCUAAUACCCCAUGUGGUCGUAGAGAUUAGUAGCUUUACGUCUAAAGGAGUAAUCCGCUUUGGGAGGGGCCUGCGUCCCAUCAGCUUGUUGGUAGGGUAACGGCUUACCAAGGCGACGACGGGUAGGGGACCUGAGAGGGUGACCCCCCACACUGGCACUGAAACACGGGCCAGACACCUACGGGUGGCAGCAGUAGGGAAUAUUGCACAAUGGGCGAAAGCCUGAUGCAGCAACGCCGCGUGCGCGAUGAAGGCCUUCGGGUCGUAAAGCGCUUUUAGGAGAGAUGAGGAAGGACAGUAUCUCCAGAAUAAGUCUCGGCUAACUACGUGCCAGCAGCCGCGGUAAAACGUAGGAGGCAAGCGUUAUCCGAAUUUACUGGGCGUAAAGCGCGUGCAGGCGGUUUGGUAAGUUGGAUGUGAAAUCUCCUGGCUCAACUGGGAGAGGUCGUUCAAUACUGCCAGACUAGAGGAUGGUAGAGGGAGGUGGAGUUCCCGGUGUAGUGGUGAAAUGCGUAGAUAUCGGGAGGAACACCAGUGGCGAAAGCGGCCUCCUGGACCAUUCCUGACGCUCAGACGCGAAAGCUAGGGGAGCAAACGGGAUUAGACACCCCGGUAGUCCUAGCUGUAAACGAUGUGGACUUGACGUCGGUGGGGUAAAAUCCAUCGGUGCUGGAGCUAACGCGUUAAGUCCACCGCCUGGGGACUACGGCCCGCAAGG